GGCCAUCUGUGGUUUGCUCUAUAUAUUACUGCCAUUAUAUGAUAUCUGAUUCAAGAAAGUUAAAAAGUAAAGAGCCAGAUUUAUAGGUUAAAUUAGCAAAUUUAAAAAAACAAAAGUCUCAUGUAUUUAUGUGAUUGUUCUAAGUAUAAACACAGAAAGGGCCGGCUAUUCCAUUCUCUCUCAAACUGUUCUUCGUUUUGUUUGUUAAUAGCUACAGUUUUUUCAGUACAGUAUAGAUCAUUUAACUUAUAGGAUUACUAUUUUAUAUUUGAUAAUUGUAUUGUAAAACAAAACAUAUACUAUAUUUAUUCAAAAUCUGUGAAGAUGCUUCAAUCACAUAUGGGUAAAAAUGUUGUUUACUUUAAUC
RNAcentral lists this long non-coding RNA (367 nucleotides) under Mytilus galloprovincialis (Mediterranean mussel). Lineage: Eukaryota; Metazoa; Mollusca; Bivalvia; Mytilida; Mytilidae. The record is from RNAcentral.